This is a long non-coding RNA of Eriocheir sinensis (Chinese mitten crab), 935 nucleotides long. RefSeq lists it as uncharacterized. The record is from RefSeq and is a predicted model, not a curated record. The transcript has 3 exons. Lineage: Eukaryota; Metazoa; Arthropoda; Malacostraca; Decapoda; Varunidae.
GAAAAUAACAAGAGAACGGCGAGGGAAGUGGCUGGCAAGUCUGGCAAGAGCUGACUUAUCCGAGGCUGGAAAAAGGCAUCUCCUCGUGUGCAGUGAUCAUUUUUUGAGUGGACGGCCAGCAGUCCUUGAGGAUACUAGUAAUCCAGACUGGGCCCCAACACAGAACCUUGGUCAUCGUAAAGUGUCCCAGGAAUUGGUCGCCAUCAGUUGUGCUCGGCAUCAAAGGAUCCAGGAGAGAAAGUUGAAGAAGGAUAAGGAGAUGUUUAUGGCAGCGCAGACACUCAUGGACAUACAGGAAUACACUCAACCUUGCCAUGACGAAGUUCAUGUUGAACAACAGGAACAGUUGUCCCUACUAGCCAUCGGCCAGACAUUUCAGACAGAGAAGCAAACCAUUGUGUCUAGACCAGCUGCCUGCCAGACAGAAACAGUAACAGUUGCAACUGUCGGCUGCCAAAGAGACCUCACCCUAAUGGAGACGACCAUGUUUGAUCAGCAGGAUGAGGACUUGAACCAGUUACGAACAGAGGUGUAUGAACUCCGUUCUACAGUAGGUGACUACAAUAACCUCAACCUCAGUAAUGAUGAUGAAAAAGUCCUUUUUAUACAGGGCUGCCAAACUAUGCUGUACUGAUGUGCAUUUUUUAUUAUGUUUGCCUUAAUAUUACCCAUUCAAUUAAUUCAAAGCUAUCCCCGUUUCAAGAAUUUGUUAUGUUUCUGAUGCAUCUUCGUUUAAACACAUGCUUCCAGGAUUUGGCCUACAGAUUUAAUGUAUCUCUUUCAACUGUGUCAAGGAUAUUUUAUAAAUGGGUAGAUACAGCAGAUACAAAAUUAAGACAUUCCAUUGUAUGGCCUACUGGCACAAUAGGCUGGGAAGAAAAUAAAUAAAAAAUAGAAAAAUAAAAAUCAGUCACACACACACACUCACCCUGAGA